RNAcentral lists this ribosomal RNA (1155 nucleotides) under Salmonella enterica subsp. enterica serovar Kentucky. RNAcentral's name for it is "partial 23S ribosomal RNA". It matches the Rfam family "Bacterial large subunit ribosomal RNA", at positions 621 to 1773 of the family's 2925-position model. Lineage: Bacteria; Pseudomonadati; Pseudomonadota; Gammaproteobacteria; Enterobacterales; Enterobacteriaceae. The record is from RNAcentral.
CAGCGACUUAUAUUCUGUAGCAAGGUUAACCGUAUAGGGGAGCCGAAGGGAAACCGAGUCUUAACUGGGCGUUAAGUUGCAGGGUAUAGACCCGAAACCCGGUGAUCUAGCCAUGGGCAGGUUGAAGGUUGGGUAACACUAACUGGAGGACCGAACCGACUAAUGUUGAAAAAUUAGCGGAUGACUUGUGGCUGGGGGUGAAAGGCCAAUCAAACCGGGAGAUAGCUGGUUCUCCCCGAAAGCUAUUUAGGUAGCGCCUCGUGAACUCAUCUUCGGGGGUAGAGCACUGUUUCGGCUAGGGGGUCAUCCCGACUUACCAACCCGAUGCAAACUGCGAAUACCGAAGAAUGUUAUCACGGGAGACACACGGCGGGUGCUAACGUCCGUCGUGAAGAGGGAAACAACCCAGACCGCCAGCUAAGGUCCCAAAGUCACAGUUAAGUGGGAAACGAUGUGGGAAGGCUCAGACAGCCAGGAUGUUGGCUUAGAAGCAGCCAUCAUUUAAAGAAAGCGUAAUAGCUCACUGGUCGAGUCGGCCUGCGCGGAAGAUGUAACGGGGCUAAACUGUGCACCGAAGCUGCGGCAGCGACGCUUAUGCGUUGUUGGGUAGGGGAGCGUUCUGUAAGCCUGCGAAGGUGUCCUGUGAGGGAUGCUGGAGGUAUCAGAAGUGCGAAUGCUGACAUAAGUAACGAUAAUGCGGGUGAAAAGCCCGCUCGCCGGAAGACCAAGGGUUCCUGUCCAACGUUAAUCGGGGCAGGGUGAGUCGACCCCUAAGGCGAGGCCGAAAGGCGUAGUCGAUGGGAAACGGGUUAAUAUUCCCGUACUUGGUGUUACUGCGAAGGGGGGACGGAGAAGGCUAUGUUGGCCGGGCGACGGUUGUCCCGGUUUAAGCGUGUAGGCUGGUUUUCCAGGCAAAUCCGGAAAAUCAAGGCUGAGGCGUGAUGACGAGGCACUACGGUGCUGAAGCAACAAAUGCCCUGCUUCCAGGAAAAGCCUCUAAGCAUCAGGUAACAUCAAAUCGUACCCCAAACCGACACAGGUGGUCAGGUAGAGAAUACCAAGGCGCUUGAGAGAACUCGGGUGAAGGAACUAGGCAAAAUGGUGCCGUAACUUCGGGAGAAGGCACGCUGACACGUAGGUGAAGUGAUUUACUCA